This is a long non-coding RNA of Anneissia japonica, 565 nucleotides long. RefSeq lists it as uncharacterized. Lineage: Eukaryota; Metazoa; Echinodermata; Crinoidea; Comatulida; Comatulidae. The transcript is spliced from 3 exons. The record is from RefSeq and is a predicted model, not a curated record.
CUAGUCACGCGGAAUGAGCGAUUAUACACAUAUUUACUGGGUUUAGGGGCAUAGUUCGAACAAGCCAACCAUUGUUCAACACCUUGUUACUUCCUCCUUUCUCUAAUAUUCCUACGCCAUAAAAAGCACAAAUCGACAUUAACAGUAGACCUCAAAUCAGCGAAGGCUAUUUGGUUCCUAAAAUCGACCGAUCUCAUUUAUCUAGACGUCACAACUGUAUACGAAAGUAACGAAGCAUUCUGGUAAACAUGGAGCAUUUACCUAGGAAACAAAACAAAUUAGUACAGGCUAUAGAGAGAAAUGACUGGCCAGCAGUAAGAAACAUCCUGGAAAAUGAACCGCACCUUAAUGAAACUUUUCAUGAGGUAAGUACUCAGUUGCUACUAAAUUUAUGAUCCACUCCAGAUGUGAUUUUUAGUAAAUUAUUCAUAAAAUAUUAUAUACUAUUACCUCGGGCUAACAAAUCUCACAAAAAUAAUCCCAUAAUAUAUUUUGCUUUUAUUUAAAAAAAAUAUUUAAAAAACACACACACACAUCACUGCAACUAAGAAUGAGGUAACUAGUC